UACAGAGGUCUCAAGCGUUGUUCGGAUUCAUUGGGCGUAAAGGGUGCGUAGGCGGCGCGGUAAGUCAGGGGUGAAAUCCUGGAGCUCAACUCCAGAACUGCCUUUGAUACUGGCGAUCUUGAGUCCGGGAGAGGUGAGUGGAACUGCGAGUGUAGAGGUGAAAUUCGUAGAUAUUCGCAAGAACACCAGUGGCGAAGGCGGCUCACUGGCCCGGUACUGACGCUGAGGCACGAAAGCGUGGGGAGCAAACAGG
RNAcentral lists this ribosomal RNA (253 nucleotides) under uncultured bacterium. RNAcentral's name for it is "partial 16S ribosomal RNA". It matches the Rfam family "Bacterial small subunit ribosomal RNA", at positions 524 to 776 of the family's 1533-position model. The record is from RNAcentral.